This is a long non-coding RNA of Amphimedon queenslandica, 202 nucleotides long. RefSeq lists it as uncharacterized. The record is from RefSeq and is a predicted model, not a curated record. NCBI's taxonomy places the organism in Eukaryota, Metazoa, Porifera, Demospongiae, Haplosclerida, Niphatidae. The transcript has 3 exons.
AAAAGCAGAGCCGAAUCAUCCAAACAAACUCUUUGUUGAUGAAGUCCUAACAGUUCAAAGGUCACUGAAGAAUAAAGGACUGAUUGUUCCUGAGGAAGAAAUUCAAUUAGCAUGGAGUCACGCAUACAGGCUACACUUCUUGCAACAAACACAACAGAAAGCUCACAAUUGUCAGAAAGGAUUUCUGUUGAGACAGCAUAGC